GAAAUUAGGAAGAAAAUCAUGUACCUAGCCAACAGGGGGUUUAACAGGAAGGAGAUGGUGAUGUUCAGCAAACAACCUAAAGCGCAAUCCUCAGGCCCAGUCAAAAUCCAGCGUGGAAUUGGCCACGGAUGCCACUGGAAUUGGCCACGGAUGCCACUGGAAUUAGCGGCGUGGCAGUGGAUCCUCGAAGCACGACGGUGACGUCGACCUCGUGUUAAACGUCGCGAGCUACCAAUGAUACUUAAUGCUAAAGAUGGACCUUAAAGACAACGCAGCUCCCGGCACCACCGCGAUUAUAUGCUCCUCCGGACCGAAGGCGGUCCUUGGCGGCGACGAUGGAUUAACUCAAAAGAAUCCUAUGCACUAACCGACUCAAGGUGUCGAUCGCGAACACGACGUCGGAAUCUCUACUUCUCUCCAGAGUUUCUCACUUCGGCGAGAGAUUAUCGGAAAUCCUAAAACAAAAAACCUACGUCCGACGCCGAUCUCCUAAAAUCGGAGCUCUGGGAAUUACGGCUAAGUCAUCUACAUAUCUCCUACAUCAUGGCGGUAACAGAAUGAAAGGAGGGAGGAUUUGAAACUCACCUAGUCGGAGAUUAUGGCUGUGCCGACGAACUCUCUACUUCCAGGGAAAUGGAAUCAUCGCUGAUGCUGCAACUCGAGUUGGAUCACUCAUUGUCGUCGUAUGCACUGCCGUAACAUGAUUCACUUGAUGCUUGCAGGUUAAUGCUGCUAUGAUAAGCACUACUUGUGGCUUUGUUAGCGUUCGUGAUGGGAUGGGGUUUGGGUUGUAAUUCUGGAUGCAGGGCCAUCGCCGUUAAGUCAAGCCAGCGACAAGCUAAAGCAUGGAAAAUAAAAGUAAGGCUGUCAUUCGAAGAAGGUUGUAACGGUUGAAUAGAAGGAUCACGCCUACAAAGAGCCGGUGACUAUCCACCAUAGCCAUGACCAGUAUGAACCCCACUCUUACGACAAAGCAGUCCGGUCUUUGCAGUCCUGUUUUAGAAUUGACUGUGCUGCCUAGUUAUUGAAACCAACAUCACCAGCUUUCCAACUGCCUUAAUUUCCACAAGGAUCACUGAGGUAAUGAUGAAAGUCGGUGUUUUUAUCCCAUCCUUCAAACAGGAGAGAAGCCCCAAUCGGACGGAGACCACCAAAUUAUGCGUAACCUUGUUUGGUGUCUCAAAAAGAUUGAACCACACUGUUCAACCGGCAUUGGCUCUUGGUGAGUAACAUUGUGCUUGGAUCCUGGAAGUAUGGAUUAGGAUGUUAGCAUCAUACAUAAUCCCAACAACAAUUCAUGCAACCUGAUCAUCCAUCUUGUGUAUUUCCUCAGCUGAAGUUGAGGUUCGCAGAAGCUUGGAGGUCACCUUCAUUUCACCAACCAGAACAACAACAUAAACUUUUUGACAAUAUUCCAAUGGCAAUACCAACAUUUCCAAACAAAAUCUUUUCCUUCAUUUGAGAGACAUUCCAGGACUGUUGGGAGUUAUCAUCAUUCUGUUCCAAUUUUUCGGUUAAUCAUGUUAUGGGUUAUAUGCAGUUUUUCGGAGAUUGGAAAAGGUUUAUUCGGUUAGCAGGUGGUUGAAAAGGUUCCGUUAUAUAUUCUGUUGAGAAAAUGUUGGUUGGGGAGAGUGAUCGGAGAAAAUGUACGUUGGGAGUUCAUGGAGUGUCGAUGUGAAGGAUGAUCAUUAGAAUAGUGCCCCAUUUCUUGACAGUGCAAACACGAUGACGGCCUCGGGUUGGUUUGAUGCGAGUGUUAAGCAGGUUCGAAUAAGGCUCACGCAGCAGAUUUUGCCUUAGACUGCUGCAGGAUUGUGACGCUGCAAGGUUUGUAAGGCUGGCUGGGACCGAUGUGUCCUCACGUUAAUGUGCAUUCUGCAGAUAAUGCGGCUGAUUCCACUAUAACCUUUCCUGUGGCUCUGACUUAUGGUUUGCCGGUGUGAACGAGAACAUGUGAUAUUUGUAGUCCAAUGAACAAACUUUACUUAGAUCCAGCAUUUUUAGAUAUAUCCACAUUCAAUUCUCUGACUUCAAUAGUAAAUUUUGGUGUCUUCAAAACCAGAUCAGUUACACGAACUGACGGAUAUCUUGUGAUGUUGCCUACGAUCAUCCACUUCCGUCUUCCUGGAGCGCGGUAUUUCCAAGUUGUCUUCUUCCCUGGGUUUUUGUUUGAAGGCCUCAUAAUAAAUUCUAAGCCAUAUAUUAAUGUUUGCAGCUUUGGAUCCCGAGACGUAAAACCCACACCAAGUUUGACCGGCGACUGGCGUAAGCUGAGCUUAAUUUCACCAAUGGGUACAGUUUCAAUAACACCAUUUUUAAGCUUCACCAUUGACGUUAUGAUCCUGUUUCAGUUUGGUUUGAGUGGUUUUAUUUCUAAACUGUAGCUGAACAAAAAUUUACAUGAUGACACCAAUAUCCAACACACUGUGUUCUUAAGAACUGAAACCUGGUCUCAUUGCAUCCCCCAUGUUUGAUUUGUUUAGCUAUUAGCAUUCAUGAAUGGCUUUGGUCCAGGCUCAUCAUAUUCCGUCUUGCUGCAGGACGGACAUCAAGUCAUGUUACAUUGCUUAUAACUUGUUGGUAUGUGGCAGCGUUCUGUUCAUGGCUCGCGGUUCUUGCUUGCAGGUUGAAGACUUUGUAGCAACCUGUUAGUAUUCGUUUUCACUUCUCCCCUACCGGCGUCGUAGCGUUUCCAACUAUCAUGAAUAGUAUAUGAACAAUAUCCCGUUUUGGUUCGUGCACAGUUCGGGGGGUUUGUACGUCGCAGUAGGCUUGGUUCUGGCAUGGUUAGGACGUGGAUUUGCUGCAAGUUCAUGGAAUCUUCUGUGGCAUAUGCAAUGUCGUUGCCUGUUUUGAUGUGCAGGUUGAAUACUGAUGGAUGUAUUAUAGCGUAUGGUCAUGUCCUACGGUGUAGCAGCUGGAUUCACUUGUAGGCAGCUCGGGGAGUGCAGAAUUGCUGACACUCAAUUAUUUGACGGCGGUCUGAUAUGGACUAGUAGCAGGAUUCUAUUUGACUGUGCCACUUUGGUUUACUAGGCCUCUUGUGUGCAAGUGUGGAGGGCAAUGAUUCAUAAGCCUAGGACAUAUUGGUCCUAACCCGGUGACUCUACAGAAUAUGCAUCUCUGGCUCCAUGUGGUUCAGCAAAAUCAUAUCAGGGACGAACUUCCUCUUUGUCCUGGUUGCAAAGUGUUACACGUAACUGUCAGUUGAAAGGCCAUUAAACCACGACUUUGAAACAAGUUCAUGGAUGCGGUAAGUAUAUCAUCCACUAGAGGUUUCUUGUCAUCCACAUAUGGAAGCUUUUUGCUUCAUGAUAAUCAUAAAGUAUUGCAGUUGCAUCCUUGUGAAUAGGAGAUGCCGCCAAUAGUACACCCUCAUUCCCUGAACUGGUUCUGUUGGUUGCUAUGAGCAUGAGUAAGGCCUAGCGCAUUUGGAGACUGCUACUGACAGGGUGCAGGACCUGUGCAAUGCUUAAUAUUUCCCCAUGAAUACUGUAGGCCAUAUGUACGGUUUUACACUUGGUGUAAUGGGUUCAUGGCUUAAUUGCAUCAUGUGGAAUGUAUUGAUUUGGCAUUACAAUUGUUGUUUGCUGUCUUUUAUGGUUGCAGGUCAUGUUUGCGUAAUGCUAUUGCCUUGUGACUGCUAUAAAUGAUGUUGUAUGUUAUGCAAAUUUCUUUGUGCGUCCAUACUGGCUCGCUUCAGGUUGUGGGUUACUUCCUUGUUUUCUUUUGCCGCUCAUGCAGGUUAUGGCUUCAUGUGUUGGACAGACAAAGUUUCAUGACACCAACAAGAAUCAUGAAGCAUUAUGCUUACUUGGCCAAUCCAAGAUCAAAAUGGAAUAUGGGAGAUCACGGUCAAGAUUAGGACAAGGAUUUGGGAUUUUAGGGUUUUUUAGGAUUGAGUUGACUUUGGUCAAAGUUGACCAAAAAGUCAAUUGUUGGCCCAAAGUCAACAUUUUCAAUUUGUGUAUUUUUGAUGUAAUGAGCAUUGUAAUGGAUAGUACAUGAUUACUUGAAUGAGAUUGAUUGUUUUUUGACUUGAA
This is a long non-coding RNA of Lathyrus oleraceus (garden pea), 4043 nucleotides long. RefSeq lists it as uncharacterized. The transcript is spliced from 3 exons. The record is from RefSeq and is a predicted model, not a curated record. NCBI's taxonomy places the organism in Eukaryota, Viridiplantae, Streptophyta, Magnoliopsida, Fabales, Fabaceae.